RNAcentral lists this ribosomal RNA (251 nucleotides) under uncultured bacterium. RNAcentral describes it as "partial 16S ribosomal RNA". It matches the Rfam family "Bacterial small subunit ribosomal RNA", at positions 80 to 334 of the family's 1533-position model. The record is from RNAcentral.
CCAAAAGCUGGCGACCGGCGCACGGGUGAGUAGCACGUAUCCAACCUGCCUCAUACUCGGGGAUAGCCUUUCGAAAGAAAGAUUAAUAUCCGAUAGCAUAUAUUUCCCGCAUGGGUUUUAUAUUAAAGAAAUUCGGUAUGAGAUGGGGAUGCGUUCCAUUAGUUUGUUGGGGGGUAACGGCCCACCAAGACUACGAUGGAUAGGGGUUCUGAGAGGAAGGUCCCCCACAUUGGAACUGAGACACGGUCCAA